GAUGAACGCUGGCGGCGUGCUUAAUACAUGCAAGUCGAGCGAACGGACGAGAAGCUUGCUUCUCUGAUGUUAGCGGCGGACGGGUGAGUAACACGUGGAUCACCCACCUAUAAGACUGGGAUCACUUCGGGAAACCGUCGCUAAUCCCGGAUAAUCUCUUGCACCGUAUGGUUCAAAAGUGAAAGACGGUCUUGCUGUCACUUAUCGAUGCAUCCGGGCUGGAUUAGCUAGUUGUUAGGGUAACGGCUUACCAAGGCAACGAUGCAUAGCCGACCUGUGAGGGUGGUCGGCGACACGAGAACGGAGACACGGUCCAGGCUCCUAAGAGAGGCAGCAGUAGGGAAUGUGCCGCAGUGGGCGGAAGCCUGGCAGAACAACGCCGCGUGAGUGAUGGAGAUCUUGGGAUCGGAAAACUCUGUUAUUAGGGAAGAACAGAUGUGUAAGGAGCUGUACACAGCGUGACGGUAAUGAGUCAGGAAGCCACGGCUAACUACGUG
RNAcentral lists this ribosomal RNA (497 nucleotides) under uncultured bacterium. RNAcentral describes it as "partial 16S ribosomal RNA". It matches the Rfam family "Bacterial small subunit ribosomal RNA", at positions 28 to 507 of the family's 1533-position model. The record is from RNAcentral.